GCAGCCUUCCACUGUAUGGCGGGGUCUUUAGUUUUCGGACCCGUGGAGCUCCGCGUUUGGUGUCCGUUGCUCCGUCCGGUUUUCUCCGCGAGGCUCCACGUGACUCCGCCAUUGCCUCCGUGGACCUGGGACCUGCAGGUACUGGAAGGUCCCUUGGGAAGAUGUCGGGACAGCACAGAAGACAACCACGGACAUCUUGACAUCUCCACCUGGAUGUUUUGAAGCAAGGGCGGCCACCCCUGCCAAUCUCCUCCAGUGUCACCUCUGACAACUGCAGUGGUACCCGACCCAGCUCCCUGUGCAGACCAGGGCACCGCCCACAUUCACGUUUUACGACAGGAGCCAGAGUGAGCUUUUCCAACUGCAGAUCUGAUUGAUUUCAUUCUAGUUUCACUCUCAGUAAUCAAUGCCAUAUGAAAAUAUUUCACAGAAAAAUCCAGCCCCUCCCAUUAUAAAUUGCCAUACAGGCUUCUCCUGGGUUGAUUUCUUAUCUAGUUAUAAGAGCCAAGCUGUCUUCUGGGUCUCUUUGGACUGAGUCUCUCAGGUUUGGGGUCUGACCUUGAGGGUGGGUGGGACAAAUAUCACUGAUGGUUGAUGCCUUAGUUUGGGUUGUCCCACGUGCAGACUCUGAGACAAGAAUCUGAGAGCAAGUAGUUUAUUUGAGAGGUGACCUUAGGAAGCUCUGGCAGAGCUUUAGGAAGUGCAACAGGAAAGGAAGGAGGCCAAUUCAGGGCGUAGUAUUCAGCCAGGUGGUGCAGAGGACAGCUGGAGUUCAGUCCCAUGGAUAAAUCACACACAACAGAGGAAUCCCAGGAGCAAGGGAGCGUGGGUAUUUAUACACCAACUCCUAUGAGUUAUUAUUUGGGGGUUGUUGGAGGUGAGUGUUAAUCCCCUGGCACCGCCCAUCUGCCGCAGGUGUGGGUAGAGUGGCCUGCUGAGGUCAUGGACAAAAGCCUGCAGGCAAAAAGAAGAAGAUAUUGGCAGUUAGAAGUGGCUCUGUGCCUGCUGGAGUGUUCCAGGGCUAUGUGCAGGGCAUGAACAGCACCUGCUCCCCUGGGGAUGAUGACAGGUGACACUGGGUGACUCAGAUCUUCCUGACAUAACAUGGAGACACGUGGUUAGAAAGCCAGUCCAUUGUCUGAAGGAGAAGAGUCCCAGUUUGGUGCUAAUAUUCUUAACACCUUUCCAACACUGUUCAUCUCCAUCUGGAACCAAGAAAGAGCCAGCCUUUGGCCUAGCGUCUUUGGUAGGCCAUCGUAUGUACCUACCUGCAAUUGAUGAUGUUGCUUUGGCUUCUACUUAAUUUUUUCCAAUAAACUUAAGCAUAUAAA
Molecule: RNA transcript, 1331 nt
Organism: Pan troglodytes (chimpanzee)
Lineage: Eukaryota; Metazoa; Chordata; Mammalia; Primates; Hominidae
Exons: 2
Source: RefSeq, a predicted model, not a curated record